GUAGGUGAACCUGCGGAAGGAUCAUUAUUGAAAUAAACCUGAUGAGGUUGUUGCUGGCUCUCCAGGGAGCAUGUGCACGCCUUGUCAUCUUUAUAUCUCCACCUGUGCACCUUUUGUAGACCCCUCCAGGUCUAUGUUGCUUCAUUUACCCCAAUGUAUGUUGAUAGAAUGUCGUGGAAUAUGAAAUAUAUACAACUUUCAGCAACGGAUCUCUUGGCUCUC
RNAcentral lists this unclassified non-coding RNA (222 nucleotides) under rhizosphere metagenome. RNAcentral's name for it is "partial ribosomal RNA internal transcribed spacer region". The record is from RNAcentral.